CGAACAACAACUUCAACCUGGGACAUGUACCCUGGAACGAGGAGAUCAAGAAGACAACAGACAGCUGGUUGAGUCAGGACAGGAGGCUCGGACACUGUCCGGGAUACAACAAGUUCCCUAAAUUCGGGGGAUAUUGCUUUGUGGGAAAUUAUGGAGCUAGCGAAUAUGAGGUAUGCGAGGAUUUCUUUGCCAAGUUUGCUUCUCUUAUAAAGAAUGAACACCCCUACAGCGCUCCUUCAGCAUGUUCUUCACGGUACCACAACGGAAAGUGGUACGUUUACUGCAGGUACGCAUACGACAAGAAGUAGUGGAGGGACACAGUUUAGGAGCUUAGGAGGGGGUUAUAUUUCGCUUAUAUUAGCAAUUAGGACCAAUAUUUGUGGAUUGAUAUUUUUUACUGUUGAAAAA
Long non-coding RNA from Bolinopsis microptera, 408 nucleotides. RefSeq lists it as uncharacterized. The record is from RefSeq and is a predicted model, not a curated record. The transcript has 2 exons. Lineage: Eukaryota; Metazoa; Ctenophora; Tentaculata; Lobata; Bolinopsidae.